AUGAACGCUAGCGGCAGGCCUAAUACAUGCAAGUCGAACGGUGGUAGCAAUACCAUAGUGGCGCACGGGUGCGUAACGCGUAACCAACCUACCCAGAACUGGGGGAUAGCCCGCCGAAAGGCGGAUUAAUACCGCAUAAGCUACUGAAGUGGCAUCACUUUAAUAGUAAAGAUUUAUUGGUUUUGGAUGGGGUUGCGUGCCAUUAGCUAGUUGGUGAGGUAACGGCUCACCAAGGCGACGAUGGCUAGGGGAGCUGAGAGGCUGGUCCCCCACACGGGCACUGAGAUACGGGCCCGACUCCUACGGGAGGCAGCAGUAGGGAAUAUUGGGCAAUGGUCGAGAGACUGACCCAGCCAUGCCGCGUGCAGGAUGAAGGCUUUCUGAGUCGUAAACUGCUUUUAUCAGGGAAGAAUAAGGACUGUGCGCAGUCUGAUGACGGUACCUGAGGAAUAAGCACCGGCUAACUCCGU
This 470-nucleotide ribosomal RNA is filed under the name uncultured bacterium. Its description in RNAcentral is "bacterial SSU rRNA". It matches the Rfam family "Bacterial small subunit ribosomal RNA", at positions 29 to 506 of the family's 1533-position model. The record is from RNAcentral.